UACGUAGGGAGCAAGCGUUGUCCGGAAUUACUGGGCGUAAAGGGUGCGUAGGCGGCGCAGUUAGUCAGAAGUGAAAUAUCGGGGCUUAACCCCGGGGCUGCUUCUGAUACUGCUGUGCUCGAGUGCAGGAGAGGUAAGUGGAAUUCCUAGUGUAGCGGUGAAAUGCGUAGAUAUUAGGAGGAACACCAGUGGCGAAGGCGACUUACUGGACUGUAACUGACGCUGAGGCACGAAAGCGUGGGUAGCAAACA
RNAcentral lists this ribosomal RNA (251 nucleotides) under uncultured bacterium. Its description in RNAcentral is "partial 16S ribosomal RNA". It matches the Rfam family "Bacterial small subunit ribosomal RNA", at positions 524 to 774 of the family's 1533-position model. The record is from RNAcentral.